Long non-coding RNA from Sinocyclocheilus grahami, 219 nucleotides. RefSeq lists it as uncharacterized. The transcript is spliced from 3 exons. Lineage: Eukaryota; Metazoa; Chordata; Actinopteri; Cypriniformes; Cyprinidae. The record is from RefSeq and is a predicted model, not a curated record.
CCUCUAGUGUGACCUCUGCAAUAACCAGCAGCACACAGACAUCAGAAUGUGUGUGUUCAGUGUCUGUGGUGUUUGUGCUGGUCUGGUGUCUUCAGCUGAUGGUUCUGUUGGGUCUGUUAGGAGGUUUUCACAUCUACAUGAGACACACGUCAGGAAAGAAGCAGGAAGAUCAGAAAGUGAGGAUGAGAAGAUUUAGAGACGGACCUGAACACACAGCAG